RNAcentral lists this ribosomal RNA (460 nucleotides) under uncultured bacterium. RNAcentral describes it as "partial 16S ribosomal RNA". It matches the Rfam family "Bacterial small subunit ribosomal RNA", at positions 338 to 795 of the family's 1533-position model. The record is from RNAcentral.
CCUACGGGAGGCAGCAGUGAGGAAUAUUGGUCAAUGGACGCAAGUCUGAACCAGCCAUGCCGCGUGCAGGAAGACGGCUCUAUGAGUUGUAAACUGCUUUUGUACGAGGGUAAAUCCCGAUACGUGUAUCGGGUUGAAAGUAUCGUACGAAUAAGGAUCGGCUAACUCCGUGCCAGCAGCCGCGGUAAUACGGAGGAUUCAAGCGUUAUCCGGAUUUAUUGGGUUUAAAGGGAGCGUAGGCCGCAUGUCAAGCGUGCUGUGAAAUGUCCGGGCUCAACCCGGGCCUUGCAGCGCGAACUGGCGUGCUUGAGUCCGCGGAAAGCAGGCGGAAUUCGUCGUGUAGCGGUGAAAUGCGUAGAUAUUCGGAGGAACACCGGUGGCGAAGGCGGCCAACUGGGCUUUAACUGACGCUGAGGCUCGAAAGUGUGGGGAGCAAACAGGAUUAGAUACCCCAGUAGUC